RNAcentral lists this ribosomal RNA (1616 nucleotides) under Proteus sp. PRO1 SMFJ-2016. RNAcentral's name for it is "bacterial SSU rRNA". The stretch from base 1 to 730 matches the Rfam family "Bacterial small subunit ribosomal RNA", at positions 793 to 1533 of the family's 1533-position model. Lineage: Bacteria; Pseudomonadati; Pseudomonadota; Gammaproteobacteria; Enterobacterales; Morganellaceae. The record is from RNAcentral.
GACCCGGCCGAAGUCGAUUUAGAGGUGUGGUCUUGACCGUGGCUUCUGGAGCUAACGCGUUAAAUCGACCGCCUGGGGAGUACGGCCGCAAGGUUAAAACUCAAAUGAAUUGACGGGGGCCCGCACAAGCGGUGGAGCAUGUGGUUUAAUUCGAUGCAACGCGAAGAACCUUACCUACUCUUGACAUCCAGCGAAUCCUUUAGAGAUAGAGGAGUGCCUUCGGGAACGCUGAGACAGGUGCUGCAUGGCUGUCGUCAGCUCGUGUUGUGAAAUGUUGGGUUAAGUCCCGCAACGAGCGCAACCCUUAUCCUUUGUUGCCAGCACGUAAUGGUGGGAACUCAAAGGAGACUGCCGGUGAUAAACCGGAGGAAGGUGGGGAUGACGUCAAGUCAUCAUGGCCCUUACGAGUAGGGCUACACACGUGCUACAAUGGCAGAUACAAAGAGAAGCGACCUCGCGAGAGCAAGCGGAACUCAUAAAGUCUGUCGUAGUCCGGAUUGGAGUCUGCAACUCGACUCCAUGAAGUCGGAAUCGCUAGUAAUCGUAGAUCAGAAUGCUACGGUGAAUACGUUCCCGGGCCUUGUACACACCGCCCGUCACACCAUGGGAGUGGGUUGCAAAAGAAGUAGGUAGCUUAACCUUCGGGAGGGCGCUUACCACUUUGUGAUUCAUGACUGGGGUGAAGUCUAAGGGGGACCCCCCAAAAAAAAAGGGGGCCCCCCCGGGCUUUUCGGGUUUUGAAACCUUGGUUUUUGCGAGAGGGGGGGGGGGUUUCCGGGGGGGGGGGUGCCCCCGGAAAUUUAGGCGGGCUUGUUCGGGGGGUCCGGGGGGGGGGACUCGGCCGCCCCCUGGAAAGGGCCGGGGGGGCGGGGGGGGGGGGGGGGGGGGGUUCCGCGAGAUUUGAGGCGGGGGGGGGUUCUCCCAUGAGGAAGUGAAGGGGGGGGGGGGGGGGGGGGGCUUUUCGGGCGCCAAAAAUUUCGCGAAAAGCGGGGGGGGGCCCCCGCGGGGUAUACGGGGGGGGGGGGGGGGGGGGGGAAUUUAGGGGGGGGGGGUGUUGGGCGGGGGGGGGAGCGCGCCUUGUGGGGGGGGGGGGGGAAGACGCGCUCUCACCCCCCUCCCCGCCGCGCGCGAGGGAGGGGGAGUUUUUAAACCCCCGCGUGGGGGGGGGUGUUUUUUCUCACCCCGGCGGGGGGGGGGGGGGGGGCGCGAAGGGCGGGUGGGCGGGCCCGGUGGGGUGAAGAAAAUACUCCCCCCCGGGGUGGGGCCCCGCCCCCCGAGAGGAGGAAGGAGGGGGGGGGGGGCGUUGCCGCCCUCCCCCCCGCCGGGUGGGGGGUGGGGGGUGCCCUUCCUCCUCCGCCCGCAGACGGACCGAAAACGAAAGUUAGGGGGGGGUCGCCGGGGGGGGGGCGGGGAAAGGCAACGUAAGGCGCCCCCCCCCCCCGCCGCAAGCCCGAGCAAGGGCCUGGAACCGGUAAAGGAGGCGGGGCGGUUUUGCCCUUCGAAAAAUUAGAGAAGGGCGGUAGGGUUGGGGCCGGGCGGGAGAAGGAACGGGACGCGGUCCCUCUGGCCGAGGGGGCCGGUUUUGGCAGGGGUUCGGGUUUGGGGGACAGAGAAGG